ACAGCGAAAGCAAAUCAGGACUGAAAACACUGCCCAGUGCCUUCGAAGCUGUCACAUGUGCCUGAGAAGAGGGGCAAGGAAGAGGUGAAAGCCAUCCAUCAGGAGCCCUUCGUGUUGCCCCUGUGUCUCACUGGGAGCGUGGGGACCUGAAGCAAGGGGCUGUGAGGCUCUGGCCACUGCUUUUGCUAUCAUUUGCCUGGUGGUGAACAGCUGUGAACACACACUUGAAGUCUUUGAGGAGUUCCCUGGA
This 250-nucleotide long non-coding RNA is filed under the name Sus scrofa (pig). Its description in RNAcentral is "lncRNA (ENSSSCG00065048622.1)". The record is from RNAcentral. Lineage: Eukaryota; Metazoa; Chordata; Mammalia; Artiodactyla; Suidae.